AUUGGGAGUUGAGCUGUCCAGAGCUCUACCCCAAGUGGACAACUUUACAAGGGACCAGAUGCCACUUCUAACCUCCACUGGCUGUUCUGUGAGGACCUAACUCCAUACAACACUCAGACACACAGCACUUAAAACCCGUAAUUUGCUGCACCUGAGGCUUGAUAAAAGGAAAACACCUCACCUGCUAAGAUCUGCUGGAACCCUUUAAUGGUCUCCUUCAAGGGCACCAGCUUUCCCAUGUGACCCGUGAAGACCUCGGCAACUUGGAAUGGCUGAGAUAAGAAGCGCUGGAUCUUUCUUGCCCGGGACACAGUCAAUUUAUCUUCCUCAGAAAGUUCAUCCAUACCCAAGAUGGCAAUGAUGUCCUGGAGAGAUUUGUAGUCCUAAAAGCAAGCAAGAUGAAAGGACAGAGUUAAGUGCCUACACCUUCAGAAGGUCCAGGAAGCCGUCAACCAAGGAACGGCAUCUGGCUUCAGCAAAUUCAGAAGAACGAAAGUCAGAAGCUGAUCAUCAAUGAAGGCUGUCAAACUCUCAAAGAUGGGUCUCCAUGCUAUACUGUAUUUGGAAAACAUGGACCAAAAACCAACAUACCGAUU
This is a non-coding RNA of Mus caroli (Ryukyu mouse), 596 nucleotides long. Lineage: Eukaryota; Metazoa; Chordata; Mammalia; Rodentia; Muridae. The record is from RefSeq and is a predicted model, not a curated record.